CAUCAGGACACAAAAUAACCCGUUUUCACUUAAUUCCUAUGCACAUCUUCUGAGACGUUAUGGAAAUGAGUGAGUAUUUUCAUUACACCAAGUAAAGGUAAAGCAGCACAAAAAAGUUCACAAACGCGAGGCUUUGUGUUCAAAUAAAGGACCGUGCCAUAAAUUUCCUGUCCUCGACUUGCCCCAAAAGCAUCACACUCGCUGUGCGGGAUAAAAAGACAAUUAAAAGCAAAAUAAUAAUAAUAAAAUCCCAGAAUAAAGCAUCAAACCUUCACUUUCAAAUCCCAAACUGAAACACAGGACAGUUUCAUUUUCAAUGAUUUAUUACUUUUUAUGGACAGAAGGUCUCGUUUAAGACUUUCCCAAUUCCUACUGCCUGUAUGAUGCUUUUUUUCCCCCCUUUCUUUCUGUGCUAGCGAGAGGCAAAUAAAAUAAAGUCCGGAGUAGCGUCAUUCAGUCUCCUUUGUACCACAGUACCUUACGGAGAGAUGGCAGUUUCUCGAGUCCUUGGCUGCUACACGCAGGUUCUGCUUGGAUAGUGUCACUUAUGUACAGUACUGGUCAGAAUCGAAGGAUGAAAUGGAAAAUUUCACCUCUUCUAUAAAGUUGUCAAGUCAGUCUGAUGGUCCUUGGGAACAGUCUGUAAGUGGGGGUUAGAAGCGGAGGAGGAAGACCUGCCCUUAGUGUUGGGCAGUUUGUGGUCUUUUUUCCACUUCAUUCUUCUGUUCUGAAACCAGAUCUUGAUCUGGCGCUCAGAGAGACACAAAGUGUGCGCUAUCUCGAUACGGCGGCGCCGGGUCAGGUACCUGUUAAAAUGAAAUUCUUUUUCCAGUUCUAGGACUUGCUGCCUGGUGUAAGCUGUUCGGGAGCGCUUAGGUUCCCCUCCGCUGUAAUUGGGGUUCACUGGGAAAGAAACACGGAGAACUUUACAGACCGAAGGGGGACUUUCCGCCUCGCCUUCCCACGCGGCCCCAGGAGCGCUCCGGCGGUGCCCGGCGCGGCCGUUCCGCGGGGCCGGCUCCUACCGCGGUUCCUGCGCGGAAGAGCCCCGCACGCCGACGGCCUAUUUCCUCGGCAAUAAAAAUUUACGACGAGUGUAAUUGGCCGCCUCGCCUUAAAGCCUCGCCAGGGCUCGAGCGAGCAUCCCUGAGGACACACGCGGGAGCGGGGUAGAAGAGCAAAGUAAGAAGAGGAUCCUUACCCGAGUUAACAUGGACUUUCUUCAUCCAGGGAUAAACUACUGCUGGCUGCUUAACUGCUGACCCGUGGGGGGCUUUGAGGGCUGGCUGCUGGCCGCAGGCUCGGGAGUUGGACAUUGGAGGCGGAGGACAAUGCUCGGCUUGGCCGGGGAAGUGGCUCGGAGGGGCGGACUGCUCCUGUCCGUGACCCCGCGGCUGCACGGCGGAGCCCUGGGCACCGGCGCAGCCAAAGGGCUGCUCGCUGUAGUUUGACCGUGGGUAGAGCCCCUGGUGCUGGAAAUCGGAGCCCUGCGAGGCCCCGUAAUACUCGGCCCCCUGCUCGCCUAGGUAGCUGCUCUGCAAAUAUUCCUCGCAAGGAGGAAAUUUGGGAUCCACAUACUUAGAGUUCACCAUAUACGAACUCAUGGCCAUUAAUUUCGGAAGGUAGAAAAUACUAAUUUUUCUCGUGUUGUCUUUUUUUCUCCUUCCAUAGAGCCCUCCUACUUGCUGUCAACUGAAUAAAGUUAGGCGUGCAUGUGACCGGCCCGGCCAAUGGGGAGGCGGGGAGCCGAUCACCGGAUUUGUGUGCGCCUCAGAAUUUCCACGAAUUUAACUAAAUAAUAUACGCGGAGCUGAGCGACCCCUCCGCGGCGGGCUUCGCCCUCCGGGGCCGAUCCCGGAGUUUUGGGGCCAUUCCCCGCGUGCGGCCGCCUCCCUGCCCCCAGGUGCGGGCAGCCUUUGUCUGAGCAGAGCCCUCACCUCCCCCUCACCCCCCCACCCCUCCGCCCCAUCCGCCGGGCGGGAUGGCCGCCGGGCUCCGAUACGAAUAAAAUCUCGAGAGAGAUGCGGGGCGAGGAGUCGGAGCGGGACGUGGAGGGAGGGAACCGAUAAGGAGGCGAGGAAAAGAAAAGACAUCAAAGAAGAGGGCAAUAUGAUGUACAAUAGAUCUGUCCUGUCUUUGUCUCGCAGAGGUCAUCCAAAAGUUACCAGAAUUUCGUUCUGCUGAAUAAAAUUAGGCAAUCAGUAACUUCUCAUUCACUUCGCGACCUCAACACGUACGUGUGCACACGUGGGCACGCACGCUCGCUCGCACACUCACAUACAAAAUCUGCGCGUGUGUGUGCAUGAAAGCGUCCAGAUAACGAGAAACCGUCCACUUUUGGCCGCUAAAGUUCAGCCAAUUGCACUGAGACGGCUUCUAAUUGGGUUACAAACAUCACGGGUUUCAAGAGAGAAAUUCGGUCUUCGCCCAUCAACAUCCUUCCUGGAGCGCAAGGAAAUACGUCCCAGUGAGCCGAGCGCUGCUUUCGCCGCUGUCGUAAAUAUUUGGAUCUCCUGAGAUGACCCGUUUAAAUGCACGGUCUGCCAGCGGGAGGUAGGGCUGAACGACCAGGGGAAUUCUCAGAGACCUUCUAAAAUCUGCUUAAUGGGAGAGAGGAGGCAAAACUUUGGGGCUUUCUCCGUGUUCAACACGCACACGUCUUUUGGUUCCGUCAGUGCCCAAAGCCCUGACCGUCUGCAGAAAGGUGAAGUUUUU
RNAcentral lists this long non-coding RNA (2715 nucleotides) under Gallus gallus (chicken). RNAcentral describes it as "long non-coding RNA NONGGAT008518". Lineage: Eukaryota; Metazoa; Chordata; Aves; Galliformes; Phasianidae. The record is from RNAcentral.